AUCUAGCGAAAGAAGCCCAAAUAGGACGAAACGCUCGUCCUAGAU
Molecule: non-coding RNA, 45 nt
Filed under: Schistosoma mansoni
Lineage: Eukaryota; Metazoa; Platyhelminthes; Trematoda; Strigeidida; Schistosomatidae
Source: RNAcentral